Hemicordylus capensis (graceful crag lizard) is the source of this 282-nucleotide long non-coding RNA. RefSeq lists it as uncharacterized. The record is from RefSeq and is a predicted model, not a curated record. The transcript is spliced from 3 exons. NCBI's taxonomy places the organism in Eukaryota, Metazoa, Chordata, Lepidosauria, Squamata, Cordylidae.
GAUAUACUGAGAGAUGGAUGAUCAAUCUUCCAGCGGCAUUUUCAAAACAAAUGCAUCAGUACAGGUCUGUAUAUUAAUUGGACUAAGGAUUGCAAGUACAGUUGCCAACAACCAAACUAAUGAAUUGUCAGUGCUACAUGAGAAGCGGCAGCACUCUUGAUGGCUUUGACUAACCCAGCAGUGGUGAUCAUUCAUAAAAAGCCUCUGCAAGAGCACCUUUUGAGAAGACAGUAUACCAAAUAUGUUUUUAAAAACACUUUUUAAUAAAUCCAUAUAAUGUAU